UCGGGUAAUCGCUGCAAUCACAUUAUGUGUUUGUAGAGGAAAGUCCAUGCUCGCACAAGCUGAGAUGCUUGUAGUGUUCGUGCCUAGUGAAAAAAUAAGCUAGGGCAGUCUGGAAGACUGACGGCCGGGAAACUACCUAAGUCCGUUAUGGAUAUGGUACAACCCUAUAAAAGUGCCACAGUGACGAAGCCUUUUCAGAAAUGAGAAGGGUGGAACGGGUAAACCCCACGAGCGAGAAACCCAAAUAUAGGUAGGGGCACCUUUCACCUUGGAAAUGAACGAGGUAAAGGACAAGUUAAUACUUGUAGAUAGAUGAUUGCCGCCUUUGUACGAGAUUAUUUAUAAUCAUUUGCAGUACGAAGGAACAAAACAUGGCUUAUAG
Molecule: RNase P RNA, 382 nt
Filed under: Bacillus massilioanorexius
Lineage: Bacteria; Bacillati; Bacillota; Bacilli; Caryophanales; Bacillaceae
Description: Bacterial RNase P class B
Rfam family: Bacterial RNase P class B
About the family: Ribonuclease P (RNase P) is a ubiquitous endoribonuclease, found in archaea, bacteria and eukarya as well as chloroplasts and mitochondria. Its best characterised activity is the generation of mature 5'-ends of tRNAs by cleaving the 5'-leader elements of precursor-tRNAs.
Source: RNAcentral